This 497-nucleotide ribosomal RNA is filed under the name uncultured bacterium. Its description in RNAcentral is "partial 16S ribosomal RNA". It matches the Rfam family "Bacterial small subunit ribosomal RNA", at positions 28 to 507 of the family's 1533-position model. The record is from RNAcentral.
GAUGAACGCUGGCGGCGUGCCUAAUACAUGCAAGUCGAGCGAACGGACGAGAAGCUUGCUUUUCUGAUGUUAGCGGCGGACGGGUGAGUAACACGAGGAUAACCUACCUAUAAGACUGGGAUAACUUCGGGAAACCGGAGCUAAUACCGGAUAAUAUUUUGAACCGCAUGGUUCAAAAGUGAAAGACGGUCUUGCUGUCACUUAUAGAUGGAUCCGCGCUGCAUUAGCUAGUUGGUAAGGUAACGGCUUACCAAGGCAACGAUGCAUAGCCGACCUGAGAGGGUGAUCGGCCACACUGGAACUGAGACACGGUCCAGACUCCUACGGGAGGCUGCAGUAGGGAAUCUUCCGCAAUGGGCGAAAGCCUGACGGAGCAACGCCGCGUGAGUGAUGAAGGUCUUCGGAUCGUAAAACUCUGUUAUUAGGGAAGAACAUAUGUGUAAGUAACUGUGCACAUCUUGACGGUACCUAAUCAGAAAGCCACGGCUAACUACGUG